Molecule: long non-coding RNA, 962 nt
Organism: Oryza sativa Japonica Group (Japanese rice)
Lineage: Eukaryota; Viridiplantae; Streptophyta; Magnoliopsida; Poales; Poaceae
Source: RefSeq, a predicted model, not a curated record
CCGGAGAAAAUUAGAAGGAGAAGAAAAGAAGCAGAGAGAGGCGCACAAAAACAAAUCACAUAACAAAUCACAUUGAUCUAUCUGCUGGUGGUGUUCCGAGGAGAUUAGAAACUUCCCAGUGCUGGUGGUGUUCCGAGAAGAUUAGAAACUUCCCAGUGACUCGCCUGCGGUUCGUGAGCAAGUACGCCACAGUGAGAUUAAAUAUCUCUCGUCAUCGAGCCGAUGUCGCAAGUGGAGAUGAUGGUGGUAGAUGGAGCGAGCCCUAAAUUAUAAACAAAGGAGGAGUGGAGAUAAAAAAAAGAUAUAUGCUAUGUACGUGACCGACGAGGCCAAGCAAUGCAUUGGCUAAAGCUGAAAAAUGCUAUGGUUGUUAUAUAUGUCUAUUUAUAGGCGAAACCAUGGCCGAGUGCUGACAAGGCCAGGUCAAUAUACUAUUAACACGCCUAAAAUAGACAGGAGCCGGAUACACCGUUGCUGGGCACCGACGAGGCAAAAGCAACCACAAAAAUCCAUGUUUGAUGAAGGCCGGGAUACAUGACUGGGCACCGAUGAGGCAAAAGUCACCCGCUUCACCAAAUUCCCUCCGCACGCGGACGUGAUGGUAGUGUACUAUGACCGUGUUUUGGUGAAACAAAGCCACCCGUUACACAUUCAUUAUAUUCACCGUUAAACCUGCACCAACCUCAACCUUCGGCGAGCAAAUAAUUUUGAAGACGACGAUCACAAAGCGCAGCUUAAUCGGAGGUAUUCCAUAGGCUCGUCCUGUGGAUGUAAUUAACCGGUAGCCUCAUUGCUAGGCGCCGGGAAUCAGCAGACUGCACGCAAUCUCUAGUCAGCAUAUCUUUCCAUUAAGCAUUCCUCGCGAAGGCAAAAGGCGAACUCCUGCGGGAGCCCUCAUGUAUUUGUAAACAUUCAUAUUAAUGAAUCAUGAUUAAUAAAAUACAAGGUUUCUCUAUUUUCUA